AGUGAACGCUGGCGGUAGGCCUAACACAUGCAAGUCGAACGGCAGCACAGUAAGAGCUUGCUCUUACGGGUGGCGAGUGGCGGACGGGUGAGGAAUACAUCGGAAUCUACUUUUUCGUGGGGGAUAACGUAGGGAAACUUAUGCUAAUACCGCAUACGACCUACGGGUGAAAGCAGGGGAUCUUCGGACCUUGCGCGAUUGAAUGAGCCGAUGUCGGAUUAGCUAGUUGGCGGGGUAAAGGCCCACCAAGGCGACGAUCCGUAGCUGGUCUGAGAGGAUGAUCAGCCACACUGGAACUGAGACACGGUCCAGACGCCUACGGGAGGGAGCAGUGGGGAAUAUUGGACAAUGGGCGCAAGCCUGAUCCAGCCAUACCGCGUGGGUGAAGAAGGCCUUCGGGUUGUAAAGCCCUUUUGUUGGGAAAGAAAAGCAGCAGGUUAAUACCCCGCUGUUCUGACGGUACCCAAAGAAUAAGCACCGGCUAACUUCGUG
This 492-nucleotide ribosomal RNA is filed under the name uncultured bacterium. RNAcentral describes it as "partial 16S ribosomal RNA". It matches the Rfam family "Bacterial small subunit ribosomal RNA", at positions 29 to 507 of the family's 1533-position model. The record is from RNAcentral.